AAAUGACCCAUUUUUUAGGGUGCCCGUUUUCUAUGACGCGCAGUUUAUAUACUUUCUUAUUACUUAACUUCAACUUAAAAUCUACUAAAUAUAACACAUAUACAAAUAUUUUGAUAUUAUCGGUUUUUAUUAAAGAUGGCUCCACGAAUAUCCUCCAUUUUGCAGAAUUGAAUUUUCACACUUCGUUUUCGAGAUACACGCACAAGACUGUGCGUAUAAAAUAUUCGUUAUUCUUAACUGCGCUUUUGUUCCGUACGAAGGUCAACUUUGAACUGAACUGGAAAUUAAGAUACAGGAGAUAUAGCUUUAGGAUUGCCAGAACUGAAUAGGGAAUUUAAUUCCCUUUUAGAAAAUGUAAUAAUAUUCUCGAAACGUUAAAUUUUUUUUGACUUUUGGCCAGCUUUUCGGGUUUUUGGACCACUGUGCGUCAGUACUAAAUAUUUUUUUACGAAAUUAAUAUUUCUCUUAUAGGUCUCCUCUUAUCUAUGUGCUCAGAAUUUACUAUAUAUACCUCUUCCUUUAAUGGGGGAGGUAUUAUUUUAAAUGAAAGUGCAUAACUGCAAGAAUACUCUUAAAAUUUCAGAUUGAUCGGAUUAAAAUUACAAGAGAUACAUAAUGUUGAAUAUUCCUACCUUUGAGUCGCUUUGCGCGCCAGCACGCUUGAGCGUAGUGAGAAAAAUUUGCAGCCCUCUCCUGCUGUCCGCAAGGAGUAUUGUAUCGUCUGCAUAUCUGAGAUUAUUCACUACUUACUUUACUUUACUCCUCUUAAUUCCAUUUGGAACAUAGGGCCUCUACAGUCCACUCCAUUCAUCUCUGUUCCUGGCCAGGGCUUUCACCUCUUUCCAUGUUAACCCAUUGUCUUCUAGCUCUCUGCUAAUAUUUCUUUUCCAGGAUGCCAUUGCUCUGCCUUGUUUUCUUUUUCCAGUUGGUUGGUAAUCCAGGGCUUGUUUGGUUUUAUCAUUUUCAUUUUCCUUAAUGUGUGUCCAAUAAACUUCCAUUUGCGUCUAUUUAUAGUUUUGGCUAUCGGCUCUUGAUUAGUUUUUCUCCAAAGUUCCUUGUUACUUAUCCGACUUGGCCAAUAUAUUUGCAAUAUUCGUCUAAUCUAAGGCAUCUAUUUACAAAUGUUUGAACCUUUUGUAUAAUCUUUUUCUCUAUUUUCCAAGUUUCUGCUGCAUAUAGCAAAAUGCUCUUUACAUUUGUAUUAAAUAUCCUGAUUUUGAUUUUGGUUGUUAAUUUAUUGGACUCGCAUGUUUUCUUCAGCAUAUAGUAUGCAUUUUGGGCUUUAGUUAUCCUUCCAUUAAUUUCCUCUUCUAUUCCACCGCUAGCGUCAAUUAUGCUUCCCAGAUAGCAAAACUUCUGUACAUUUUCUACUUCUUCUCCUUCAAUGAAUAUACCCAUUUCUCUUUCCGUACUUAUCUUCAUAAGUUUUGUUUUUCUUGUGUUAAUCUGUAAUCCUAUUUUUCUUGCUUCUUCUGUCACCUUUUCUGUUUUUUCUGCAUAUGUUGUCUUUUUUCGGACACCAGACAUAUAUCAUCCGCAAAGUCUAGAUCUUCAAGCUGACCGAAAGCAUUCCAUCUAAUUCAUGUUUUAUUUUUCGUUGCCUUCUUUAUGACCCAGUCGAUUAAGAUCAAAAAUAUGGUUGGAGAUAGAAUACACCCCUGUCUGACUCCACUGUCUAUGUUAAUUGGUUCUGUGAGUUUCCCAUUGUGCAUGAUUUGUGCGGUAUAGUUUUCAUAGAACAUUUUGAUAAUUAUUCUUAUGUAUUUUAAUGGAAUUCCAUAUCUCUUUAAUAUUUCCCACAUUUUUUCUCUGUAAUCCGGUCAAAAGCUUGUCUAAAAUCAAUGAAAUUUAUAUAGAUUUUGCUCUGCCAUUCUAUUGUUUGUUCUACAAUGUUUCUUAAUGUGUUAAUAUGAUCUGUGCAUACUUUAUUACUUCUGAAGCCCGCUUGGUUUGGUCUUAACAACUGGUCUAUAGUUUCUUCCAUUCUUUCUAGUAUCAUCCUUGUCAUGACUUUACUCACUGUAGAAAGUAGUGUUAUUGCUCGCCAAUUUUUGCAAUUCGUUUGAUCUCCCUUCUUGGGUAUCUUUACAAUUACAGUACAACCUGCCAUAUCCGGACCUGUCAUAUCCGGACCUCCCCAUAUCCGGACGGUUCUGCGCCGUCCGGAUCUACCGAAAUCUACCGAAAAAGGCAGUCCUGCUGUUGGACAACGCACUAAAAGAAGAACUAAAAGAUGGCGAAAUAAUGUAUUAUAGAAUCUAUAAAACGUGUCUAUCGACGAAAGUUAUUGACGGCGUUGAUUACUGGAAUGUGUGAAGGAGAAACCCUUUCAGAAACUGUAAAAGAAGUAGUGGUCUUGAUAUCCGGAUUUUUUCAUAUCCGGAUCGGUCUGUCGCCACAUUGAUUCGGAUAUGGCAGGUUUUACUGUAUACUUUUUUUCCAAUCAGGUAUUCUCUCCUGCCAGAUUAUUCACUAGUGUUCCGUUAAUUGAUAUUCCUCCAUUAAUAUCUUCUAGUGCCUCUUUAAACAUCUCUUCUAAACAUAUAUUAAAAAGUAGAAGGAAUAGUACACAUCCUUGUCGUAGUCCUCUUCUUUUUGGAAUAUCUUUAGAUAUGCGAAGCAAUAAAGCACUAAAAUCGGCCUUACCUCCGAAAAAAAAAAACGACAAGAUGGAUCUUAAUAAUUCUUUUUGCAUUCGAUUCGUGAAUGCGCCAGGAAACUUUGUGACCCCGAGCCAUGAUAUAAUAUUGAAAAACUGCAUACAAAAAAUGCAUUCUUAAAGUGCAUCUCAAACAGACAAUAAAAAAAAUUCAGAACUCGUCAAUUACCGGCGGAAAUGAGUUCAAUUUUCUUACCCGGGGUUUUUGGGGUCGCUGAAAACGAAUAUGACUUCGAAAGUGAUUUCCGGAGUACCUGGGGCCCAGGGUGCCUACUGUUUGCCUCGUCUUGUGGAGUUUUCGGCAGAUUCAUUAAAAAAUUAGUCAAAAAUCAUUACCCGGGGUUUUUUGGGGUCGCUAACGACGAAUAUGACAUCGAAAGUGAUUUCCGGAGUACCUGGUGCCCAGGUACCUACUGUUUACCUCGUCUUGUGGUUUUUUCGGCAAAUUGCUCGGAGGUUUUUGGGGUCGCUAACGACGAAUAUGACAUCGGAAGUGAUUUCCGGAGUACCUGGUGCCCAGGGUACCUACAGUUUACCUCGUCUUGUGGAGUUUUCGGCAAAAAAAUUAUUAAAACAUUAGUCAAAAAUUAUUACUCUGGAAACUCAGUACUCUGGUUUUUGUGUCGCUGACGAUGAAUAUGAUAUCGAAAGUGAUCUACGGAGUGCCUGGUACCCAGGGUACCUACUGUUUACCUCGUUUUCUGGAAUUUUCGACAAAUUUAUUAAAAAAUUAGGCAAAAUUCAUUACUCGGGGGGUUUUUGUGGUCUCUUUCGACGAGUAUGACAUCGGAAAUGAUCUCCGGAGUACCUGAUGCCCAGGGUAACUACUCUUUACCUCGUCUUCUGGAGUUUUCGGCAAAGUCUUUAAAAUAUUAGUCAAAAAUCAUUAGUCACGAGAUAAACAGUAGGUACCCUGGGCACCAGGUACUCCAGAGAUCACUUCCGAUGUCAUAUUCUUCGUCAGAGACCCCAAAAAACCCCCAAGCAAUGAUUUUUGGCUAAUUUUUUAAUGAAUUUGCCGAAAACUUCAGAAGAAGUAGGUACCCUGAUUCCGGAGAUCACUUCUGAUGUCAUAUUCGUCGUUAGCGAUCACAAAAAUCCUCCGAGUAAUUAUUUUUGCCGAAAAUUCCACAAUACGAGGUAAACAGUAGGUACCCUGGGUACCAGGUACUCCGGAAUGGAAUGCACAGUUAGAUUGUUUUUCUUUUGAAGUGACAGCUCUGGACAAAUCUUGUACUAAGAGAAGUAUGUUGUCUGAAUUGGCCCGAGUGUUUGAUCCUGUAGGGUUUCUAGCUCCGAUGACUUUGUUCACGAAGCACCUUAUCCAACGUUUAUGGUUGUCCGGAAUCGACUGGGAUGACUCUCCUCCAGACUCAAUUUGUAAAGUUUGGAACCAGUAUAAGGAACAACUGUUAUCCCUUGCACAGCUUGAAAUACCUAGGUGUAUGUUCGUGUCCAGGUAUAUUUGUUGUGAGGUACAUGGGUUUUGUGACAGUAGUGAAAAGGGUUAUGCCGCUGUUAUUUAUUUGCGUUUUGUUCUACCAGAUGGUCAGGUUUGUGUCUUUUUUGUUUGCGCGAAGUCAAAAGUGGCUCCCAUAAGAACUGUAAGCAUUCCACGUUUGGAGCUGUCCGCUGCAGUUCUACUAUCUAAACUCAUGCAGUUUGUAGUUAGAGUAUUAGAUUCUAAACUUAAAAUCGCAAAAUUUGUAGCUUGGUCCGAUUCUCAGGUAGCUCUAAGUUGGAUAAAAUCCUCUCCUCAUCGUUGGAAAACUUUUGUUUCUAACCGGGUUUCAUAUAUACAGGAACGCCUUUCUCCUAAUAGUUGGUUUUAUGUUCCUUCUGCUCAGAAUCCCGCUGAUUUGGCUUCCAGAGGUGUUUUACCUGCUCUAAUGUUGGAGCAAUCUCAUUGGUUUGCAGGUCCUGAGUUUUUGUAUAACACCGAUCCCAUUCCAGACGCUUCCUGUUGCUUUUCUGAGUGUGCUGAAAUGCUUGAUGAGGAGCGUACGGUAACUUUGGCUUGUGUUAAUGAUGAUAAUUUUCUUGAGAAUCUAUUGAAUGACAUUUCCGAUUUCUCGUUUAUACGACGACUUAUAGCUUGGAUCUUGAGGUGUGCUUGGAAUUCAAAAUUCCCCAAUGAUAAGAGAGAAGGUCCCUUAAGUUCAAAGGAACUUUAUGAGUCGUUGAUUAUGCUAGUUAAAUAUACUCAACAUCGAUAUUUUGAAAGGGAGUUCGAGGGAAAUGUUUUUUCCAAACCUUUGCGAAAGUUGUCCUGCUUUAUCGAUGAUCAAGGAGUAUUACGGGUUGGCAGUCGUCUUAGAUAUUUGUCUGUUUCGAUUGAUAAGAAAUUUCCUUGCAUCCUACCUCGCGAAAGUCGAUUAACUUAUUUGCUGAUUGAUUAUUACCAUAAACGAUACUGUCAUGCUGGGCUGCGUACAGUUAGUUUUUUGCUUGCCCAGUCAUUUUGGAUUUUGUCUCCUAAGCGUGCUAUACGCUCGGUUUUGUCAAAAUGUAUACAGUGUUGGAGGCCCAAUCCUAGAAAUUACCAACCUCCAAUGGGUAACUUACCCCUAGUUAGAAUUUCCCAGGUUAAACCCUUCCUGAAUUCAGGUAUGGAUUUUGGUGGACCGUUUUAUGUUGUGAUGAAUCGCUAUCGAGGAGCUAAAUCUUGUAAGGUGUAUCUUUGCCUCUUUGUUUGCAUGGCCACCAAAGCUCUUCAUUUAGAGUUAGCUAGUGAUUUAUCGAGUGAGACUUUUCUCUCUGCUUUGCAGCGUUUCAUAGCUCGUCGUGGUAGGGUUGAUAAGUUAUAUUCUGAUCGUGGCAGUAAUUUUGUUGGCGCUGCUAAAUACCUUAACCUCAUGAAAAAUGCUGCUUCAAAUGAAAAUAUUUCCUUCCAUUUUAAUGCUGCAUCUGCUGCCCACUUUGGCGGUUUAUGGGAGGCGGGAAUAAAGUCAGUAAAGACGCACCUAGCUCGCGUUAUAGGCGAUCAGAUCUUGUCAUAUGAGGAACUAAACACGGUCGUAAUUCAGAUUGAAUCGUAUCUUAAUUCUAGGCCCUUGACCCCUAUAAGUUCUGAUCCUAAUGAUUUGUCAGUUCUAACGCCGGGUCAUUUUUUAAAUCUAGAACCUCUUUCGGCUGUGUUUGAACCUCUUGAUGGAGCGUAUAUUCCUGCAUCUCAUUUGAUGAGAUGGAAGUUAAUAAAUCAAAUGCAUAAAACUUUUUGGGAACGCUGGAGCAAAGAAUAUUUGCAUACUUUGCAUCAGCGCAGUAAAUGGACUUCAUCCGAUAAUUUAAAACCUAUCGAACUCGGAGAGAUGGUCCUUAUAAAGGAUGAUAAUAUCCCUCCCUCGCAAUGGCGUUUGGGACGAAUAUCCCAAGUAUUUCCGGGACAGGAUGGAAUUAUAAGAGUUGCAGAUGUUAAGACCACAAAGGGAAUUCUUCGACGCCCCCUGGUGAAGCUGUGUCCUCUGCCUAUUUAAAUAAUUCCUUAGUUUUUUUUGUUGAUCUUAUUAUUAGUAUUAUAUUGUUUAAUUUUUUUUUGGGAUUUAUUCCAAAGUGCCAUGACUUAGGUUAUUUUUUUUUUUAGUUUAUUAGCUUGUAAUAGUUUUAAAAUGCACCAUUUAAAGCUGCAUUUUGGUGGGGGAGAAUGUUGUAUUUUCCUUUAAAUUUGAAUUAACUUAUUUACACGAGGAAGGCAAAUGGUCCCAACUCUAGUUAUUUUGCCUUUUAUCGCGAUAUAAAAGAGGUUUGCUUUAAUGAGUGCAAAAACUGGAGCCUUGUAGUGUUCGUCAAAAGUAAGAGAAGCUAGUGCCUCUACAAUCAUUGGCUCGAAAGUUGCUCUACAAUCAACAGCUCGUAAGUUGCCACUCAACAACGGCUCGCUCGUUUGCCGGUGUAAAAGCCUAGAUGGUAAGGCUUUUUUCGUGUAUGGACUUGGUGCAGUGUUAAAUGCAGCUGAGGGCCCUCUUGAAGACCAAAUGCAGGGAUUGAAUUGAUGGGUCUGGUCUGAAGCAGGUACUCAACUUGAUUUAGAAAAUUCCCUUGAUAUUGGUGGAUUUGGAUAUCCAGCUAUGGCUGUCAUUAACUCAAAGAAAAUGAAAUAUUCUAUUCUCCGUGGAUCAUUUUCCAAGGAUGGUAUUUAUGAAUUUUUAAG
This is an RNA transcript of Diabrotica virgifera virgifera (western corn rootworm), 6809 nucleotides long. It is a transcript of the gene named protein disulfide-isomerase A6 homolog, with no coding region annotated. NCBI's taxonomy places the organism in Eukaryota, Metazoa, Arthropoda, Insecta, Coleoptera, Chrysomelidae. The record is from RefSeq and is a predicted model, not a curated record. The transcript has 2 exons.